This 2777-nucleotide long non-coding RNA is filed under the name Sus scrofa (pig). Its description in RNAcentral is "lncRNA (ENSSSCG00005026874.1)". Lineage: Eukaryota; Metazoa; Chordata; Mammalia; Artiodactyla; Suidae. The record is from RNAcentral.
UUGUAGAUCUUUUGGUACCUAUAGGAACUAAUCUGUGUUUUACAAGACCACUUUGGUUUCAGAGACUAAAGCUAAAGAAGUUUGUUCUGCGCUGUGAUUAGCAACUUUCUCAUUGUAAUAAGAAUAGAGAUGGCAUUCAGUAAGGGUGCAAAUUUACAUCUUCUUUCACCUUUCCCCUGGGACCCAUCCACUUAAAGAGGGAAAGAACUGAAGGAAGACAUGUCUGGAAAACCAUUUUUUCUCCCAGUGAACAUCUAAUAGUUACUCCUAAAGCCAAAAGAUUUCAGUCAAGCCUUUCUGUGUAUAUAUGCCCCUACCUUAAUUGAAAUUGAUAUUAACGCAGUGUUACCAUAAUUCCUUGAAAUGAGGACUAACAUCAAUGGGUUCAAGCAGGGGAAAGGAAAUCUGCCCUAGAAAGAGAGCGAGCCAAGCCAUUUUCGUUUCUGAUUCAUUACCUGGUUGGAGGAAGGAAGGAAUUACUGGCAGGAAUAAAUAAAUCAUCUGUUGUUUUAUUUUGGAGUGGAGAUUUUUUUUUUUCUUUUAAGGAUAUUUCUUUACAAAUACCCUCAUCAGUGUGCAAAUGUGUUAUAUGUUUUUAUAUAUUAUAACAAAAGAUUGGAGUUCCCGUUGUGGCACAGUGGUUAACAAAUCCUACUAGGAACCAUGAGGUUGCAGGUUCGAUUCCUGGCCUUGCUCAUGGGUUAAGGAUCUGGCAUUGCCAUGAGCUGUGGUGUAGGUUGCAGACAGGGCUCUGAUCCAGAGUUGCUGUAGCUGUGAGUAGGCAGCAGGUGGAGCUCUCAUUAGACCACUAGCCUGGGAACUUCCAUAUACCAUGGGUGUGGCCCUAAAAAGGCAACAAAAAGAAAAAAUAAAGCCAAAAAAGGGGUGAGGGAGCUGUACCAUGAACAGAAGUUCAGGGUAGAUUUUAUUAAGUAAGAAAAAAUAAAAUUCUUUGUAAUUGUCAUAUCUAUAACACUGAUGCUGAUGAAAAAUCAUACAUUUCUUUAUGGCAGGACAAUUAAACUAAGGAUGGAAAUACAUAUAACAUGCCUCCUCUCUGCGCGGGGUGGGGUGGGGGAGGUGCUUCCCCUGUGUGCAGGUGCGCUUAUGUUACAUAGUAACCAGGCCUCCUCAGGGCAGGAGGGUGUAAUCAACCUUUGGAAAGAAUGGUCCCUGUCUUCUGUUCACCAUCUUAAUGUUAAGAUUAUUUUUUCGGAGUUCCCGUCGUGGCGCAGUGGUUAACGAAUCCGACUAGGAACCAUGAGGUUGCGGGUUCGGUCCCUGCCCUUGCUCAGUGGGUUAACGAUCCGGCAUUGCCAUGAGCUGUGGUGUAGGUUGCAGACGUGGCUCGGAUCCCACGUUGCUGUGGCUCUGGCGUAGGCCGGUGGCUACAGCUCCGAUUCGACCCCUAGCCUGGGAACCUCCAUAUGCCACGGGAGCGGCCCAAAGAAAUAGCAACAACAACAAAAGACAAAAAGACAAAAGACAAAAAAAAAAAAAAAAAAGAUUAUUUUUUCUUGUCCGGUACAAGAGGUCACAUUGACCUAAAGUCUCACUGUAUAAAGCUUACUUGAACAAAACAUCUCUGAUGAAUUUUAUGUAUAAUGUUAACCUGUCUAUAUGAUACAUAAUUCUUUGCCUCAAAAAUGCAUAAAACUGCAUCCAUUUUUAACUCCUGACCAGUGAAACCUUCAGAGCUUCUGAGUGUCUGUCUCCCAGGUUAUAAUCCUCAGUUUGGCUCAAACAUUUUUCUCUUUUUUUUCUUCUUAGCUUGCUUGUUAAUUGGAUUCUCACUGACAAUACAAAAUAUGUAUUAUAUAAACAUUAAAAGUGGCUAACUUUAAAAAAAAUUUUUAUGGCCACCUAUGGAAGUUCCCAGGCUAGGGGUCAAAUCUGAGCUACAGCUGUAGGCCUACAACACAGCCAUAGCAACAUCAGAUCCAAGCCACACCCACAAACUUGUCACAGAUUGUGACAACGCCAGAUGCUUCACCCACUGAGUGAGGCCAGGGAUCAAACCUGCAUCCUCACAAGCAUAUGUUGGGUUCUUAAACUGCUGAGCCACAGCAAGAACUCUAUAAGUGGCUAUGCCACAGCUGUGGCAAUGCUGGGUCCUUAACCCCCUGUGCCACAGUGAGAGCUCCAGUUCUAACAAGUUUUUGUUAUAUCUUCAAGAGCUGUGCCAUCCUUUUAAAAGUUGUCCCCUGCCCCCUCCCCUCCUGUCUCAAUAUUGUGUUUACCAGUUGUUUAGAUUAUUAUGAGGAGGGAGAUUACAGAAAGCUUCCUGUUCUUUUUAUUUUUUUUUUAGUGAUUUUUUUUUUUUUUCCAUUAUAGCUGGUUUACAGUGUUAUGCCAAUCUUCUACUGUAUGGCAAGGUGACCCAGUCACACAUACAUAUAUACAUUCUUUUUUUCACAUAAACUUCCUGUUCUAAAUCAACAUUUCUGUAAUGUAUGAACAUUUACCACAUGUGUUAUUUAUUCAUAAAAGGUGAAAUUAUAAAAACCAACUACAGGCAUUUGUAGCAACAUGGAUGGACCUAGAAAUUAUCAUGCUAAGUGAAGUCAGUCAGACAAUGAGACACCAACACCAAAUGCUAUCACUUACCUGUGGCAUCUAAAAAAAGGACACAAUGAACUUCUUUGCAGAACAGAUACUGACUCACAGACUUUGCAAAACUUAUGGUUUUCAAAUGAGACAGGUUGGGGUGUGGGGGGGAUGCACUGAGGGUUUGGGAUGGACAUGCUAUUAAAAUUUGGCUGUGAUGAUUGUUGUAC